Non-coding RNA from Podarcis lilfordi (Lilford's wall lizard), 77 nucleotides. NCBI's taxonomy places the organism in Eukaryota, Metazoa, Chordata, Lepidosauria, Squamata, Lacertidae. The record is from the annotation of a GenBank genome assembly.
GAAUUGUUGGUUCAGUUAGUCAGAGCAUGGUGCUGAUGAUGCCAAGGCUGCAGGUUUGAUCCCUGUAUGGGAUCCCU